Molecule: ribosomal RNA, 253 nt
Filed under: uncultured bacterium
Lineage: Bacteria
Description: partial 16S ribosomal RNA
Rfam family: Bacterial small subunit ribosomal RNA
Source: RNAcentral
UACGUAGGGGGCGAGCGUUAUCCGGAUUCACUGGGUGUAAAGGGAGCGUAGACGGCCAUGCAAGCCAGGGGUGAAAGCCCGGGGCCCAACCCCGGGACUGCCCUUGGAACUGCAUGGCUGGAGUGCGGGAGGGGCAGGCGGAAUUCCUGGUGUAGCGGUGAAAUGCGUAGAUAUUAGGAGGAACACCAGUGGCGAAGGCGGCCUGCUGGACUGCAACUGACGUUGAGGCUCGAAGGCGUGGGGAGCAAACAGG